CCUACGGGAGGCAGCAGUGGGGAAUUUUGGACAAUGGGCGCAAGCCUGAUCCAGCCAUGCCGCGUGUGGGAAGAAGGCCUUCGGGUUGUAAACCACUUUUGUCAGGGAAGAAACGGUCUGAACUAAUACUUUGGACUAAUGACGGUACCUGAAGAAUAAGCACCGGCUAACUACGUGCCAGCAGCCGCGGUAAUACGUAGGGUGCAAGCGUUAAUCGGAAUUACUGGGCGUAAAGCGUGCGCAGGCGGCUUUGCAAGACAGAUGUGAAAUCCCCGGGCUCAACCUGGGAACUGCAUUUGUGACUGCAUGGCUAGAGUACGGUAGAGGGGGAUGGAAUUCCGCGUGUAGCAGUGAAAUGCGUAGAUAUGCGGAGGAACACCGAUGGCGAAGGCAAUCCCCUGGACCUGUACUGACGCUCAUGCACGAAAGCGUGGGGAGCAAACAGGAUUAGAUACCCUGGUAGUCCACGCCCUAAACGAUGUCAACUGGUUGUUGGGAGGGUUUCUUCUCAGUAACGAAGCUAACGCGUGAAGUUGACCGCCUGGGGNGGACGGCGCGAGUAGACGUACGAAGAAGUAGACGCGUGAGAGNGCGAGACGACGACGAGGGAGGAGG
Molecule: ribosomal RNA, 615 nt
Filed under: uncultured bacterium
Lineage: Bacteria
Description: bacterial SSU rRNA
Rfam family: Bacterial small subunit ribosomal RNA (bases 1-542)
Source: RNAcentral